This 485-nucleotide ribosomal RNA is filed under the name uncultured bacterium. RNAcentral's name for it is "partial 16S ribosomal RNA". It matches the Rfam family "Bacterial small subunit ribosomal RNA", at positions 899 to 1397 of the family's 1533-position model. The record is from RNAcentral.
ACUCAAAUGAAUUGACGGGGACCCGCACAAGCGGUGGAUGAUGUGGUUUAAUUUGACGAUACGCGGAGAACCUUACCGAGGCUUGACAUCCUAGGAAUCCUUGAGAAAUCAGGGAGUGCCUUCGGGAGCCUAGUGACAGGUGCUGCAUGGCCGUCGUCAGCUCGUGUUGUGAAAUGUUGGGUUAAGUCCCGCAACGAGCGCAACCCUUAUCGUAUGUUGUAUUUUUCAUGCGAGACUGCCCGGGCCAACCGGGAGGAAGGUGGGGAUGACGUCAGGUCAGCAUGGCCCUUACGCCUCGGGCUACUCACGUCAUACAAUGGCCGGUACAACGCGUUGCGAACCCGCGAGGGGGAGCUAAUCGCACCAAAACCGGUCUCAGUUCGGAUUGGAGGCUGCAACUCGCCUCCAUGAAGUCGGAAUCGCUAGUAAACGUGGGUCAGCAUACCACGUUGAAUACGUUCCCGGGUCUUGUACACACCGCCCGU